AUUGAACGCUGGCGGCAGUCUUAACACAUGCAAGUCGAUCGAGCGGCGGACGGGUGCCUAAUGUCUGGGAAUGUUCAUGAUGGAGAUGGUUCACUACUGGAAACGGUUGCUAAUACCGCAUCCCAUCCGCUGUGCCCAGGUGGGUUUAGCUAGUAGGUGGGGUAAUGGCUCACCUAGGCGCCGAUCCCUCGCUGGUCUGAGAGGAUGACCAGCCACACUGGAACUGAGAAACGGUCCAGACUCCUACGGGAGGCAGCAGUGGGGAAUAUUGGACAAUGGGCGAAAGCCUGAUGCAGCCAUGCCGCGUGUGUGAAGAAGGGCUUCGGAUUGUAAAGCACUUUCAGCGAGGAGGCGUUACCCGCAGAAGAAGCACCGGCUAACUACGUGCCAGCAGCCGCGGUAAUUC
RNAcentral lists this ribosomal RNA (406 nucleotides) under uncultured bacterium. RNAcentral describes it as "partial 16S ribosomal RNA". It matches the Rfam family "Bacterial small subunit ribosomal RNA", at positions 30 to 526 of the family's 1533-position model. The record is from RNAcentral.